Zonotrichia albicollis (white-throated sparrow) is the source of this 7630-nucleotide non-coding RNA. The record is from RefSeq and is a predicted model, not a curated record. NCBI's taxonomy places the organism in Eukaryota, Metazoa, Chordata, Aves, Passeriformes, Passerellidae.
CCUGGUAUUUUCUUCAUUGUAGUGUUUAGUAGCUCUCUAUGCAUGUGUGCCAUUACAGUUAACAGACAGCUGGGAGAACGUGGAAUUGUUUGAAGUGCUGCUUUCCUAUACUUGCAAUUUUUAAAAAUAUGUAUGUGGGAAGAGAAACACAUAUAGUGAAGAGUCACAGCACAAUAAACCUGAGUAUAUUCUCUUUAGGGAAGGGUGCUUCUCAAAUAUGAAGGAACAAUGAAAUAAUCUUGUUUGCUUUUUGGUUAGAAAUCUUUUUUGACCCAUAUAUGACUGCAAAAAACUUUAUAUUUCCCCUCUAAUUUUCUUUCACUAGAAUUUUUUCAUUCCUUUAAGUUAGGUUUUUUCCCCCAGUCCUCUGGGAUUUCCAGUUUUCAAUGUCUUAUACAUAAUUUCCCCCAUAGUUGUUCUUGAAACUCAGAAAUUUCCAUUAUGUGAUUUCUUUAACAUGCUGGUGAUGAUUUCCAUAUAAUGUUACAAUUUGUGUGUGUGAAAAAAAUGGUGUCAGAAAACCCCCAAAAAGGAUCCUGGCCUCUUAAGAGAUGCUUUUUCUGUUGGAAGUGUUUCUUUGGCACUUGAAGUGGUCAUUUGGUCAUUUUUUUCCUGGGCAUUGUCUCAGCUGAAAGCAGAUAGUUGUGAUGUUACAAGGAACAUGCUUGUGGGUAUGAACUGAACUUGCCUUUCUGGAAAAACAUUGAAUCUCAGUCCUGGCAACUAUUUAUCAGUUGCACACAAGAUUAAAACUUUGACAGGUAAACUGACUAGAAGGUGAGCUUUAUACAGGUUUUUUUUUCUAACAAGCAUAAUCUCAGUGGAUCUCUUUGGUGUUGAACAAAACCAACACUAUUUGUCAUUGUCUCGCUGCAAUGUUCUCUGUUUUCAUAAGCGUCAACAAAAUGGGCAGUGAAAUUUAAUACCAUGCUUGUGUUGCUUUUAUAUACAGGAAAACCCUUUGCAAGUGUUGGCUUUGACCAGACAUUUCAAUGCUAAGAUAAAAACAAACAACUGAACCUAGAUAUUAUUAGUAAUGGAGUAUAUAGGUCCAAGCUGGGCAAUUUUAGUACUGAGGGAAUACUCCCAUCACUGGCUACUACUUGCUGUUGUAGAAACCUGGAAUAAUUCUACCAGCAGUUGUUAAAGGAUUGUUUAUCCAUUCAAUAAUGCUAAGGAAGUCUGGCUUUACUCAGUCUUAGAAAGCAAGCUGUAUUUAUUUGUAUUAAUUUUUUAUGUUAGGCUCAUAAAUGCUUCCUAAAUGCUUGUUAAUCCUUAGUUUAGAUAAGGAGAUAGAACGGUUUCCAUCAUUAGCAAACAGUAGGCAAAUGGUAGCCAGUAGCUACCAUUUGGACUUACUAUAAAACAAAAUCCUGUUGCAUAGUUAAGCAGAGAGAAGGGGCCUUUUUGUACAUGUUGGUAUCUAAAAUGUACUAUGCUGAGGAGGUUUUCUUGUACAAAGGUGUGCCCCAUGUAGUGCAUCUCACUAGUAAUGACUGACUCAAUUACAUCAACAUCUUGUAAAUGCUGACUGACUUCUGUCUUCAUGUCCUAAUCCAAAAUUAUUUUCUAUAUUUUUCACAUGAGCAGUUUAUCAUGAGAAACCUGUGUCACUGUGAGUGCCUGGGGCUUGUAAAAAUGGGACAACUAUUUGUCUAAUGAAUAUAAUUACUUCCAAAAAUGUCAUAAUGUCAGACUUCAUUGGAACUUCUGUUCAUAACCAAAUGCCUUUUUUUGAUGUCUGCUCAAAACACUUGAGUAUUUCUCUCCUGUUUGCUUAGUGGUGACAGAAUGGGCAGUUUUCAGUGUUUAAAGAUGAACUAAGAGAAAGUGUAGUAGAGUUUGCUGCUGGCCUUAAAAGAGCUUUGUUCCAUGUUCUGCUUUCCCAUAUGUUUUCCAGUGUUACCUUAGACAAACAGGCUAAUGUGUGAUUUAGUUUUUUUAAUAAUAGUAACAGCAUAGAAGUUCUACUUCCCUACUAGUGAUGGCUUUGCUCUUGCAUUUUUGAUUACUGUCGCUUCUAUUGGUAGUACUAAUUACAUGACCUAUGUGAAAGUACAAAGACAAGAUAAGUAAUUUUUAUUGCUGCAUUUUUUGCGCAUGUGUAAUUAGUACUGGGACCAAAGGUCCUUAAAACGAGAACAUUAGACUUACUGACAGGCUAGAACCCUUAUCAUAUUGCCUCAAAAGCCUUGUUAGAUUCUCCUUUUUUGUAGUUUAAGUCCUUUACGUAAAGCCUGAAUCUAGUUACAGAGGAAUGAAAUCAGCUGAGACAGAGUCAUUGAAAUCCCUAACAAAAUCAUGAUGUAUUCCUUGGCAUAUUCAUAAUCAUCUGGAGGAGACUACAUUUGUCCCAGUGGGAGCUCUUCAAGUAGUAGGAAAGCAAAACACUUCUUCUGGCUUUUCAUGGAUGUGGUGGGAGAAAAUGAGGCCUUGCAGCAGUUCUUUGAAGGUAAGACUAGUUUCAAGAGAAGCCUUAACAAUUUUUAGUGUCAGCAAAACCAAUAAUUGUUUGGGGGUAACUGAGGAAGAAAGGAGGAAGAAAAAAUGCUCUGAAACCCAAAGCUGUGUUUACACUAAGUUAUUGUGGAAGACAGUAGCAGAAUGAUUACAAAUAGUACAGAUGUGGUGCAGUGCCUUUUUCUUUGUGCUCUGGCCAGAAUACCAAAGGGAAGGCACACCCAGCAAAGUCUGCAAUAUGGCUCGUUGCAGUGUAACACUUCUGAAAUCUUAGUGAUUUUCAUGUGGUUAGAGAUCUCACUUCCUCCUCAGUUUUGGCAUGUCAGGUAAAGAGGGUUUUCUUUCCACCAACUGAAAUGGCCUGAUUGUAACUGGUAAAAUGUUAAUUGUGUCAGUAUCCUCAGGACCCUCCUGAGGAGUUAAACCUGGAUAUUUUUGUCUUUUGGCUGGGAUCAUCUGUCCUGCCUUUUUCUCCAAGACAUUUUCUAUUCAAGCUCGUCCAAUUAGUUUCAUCAUUUUCUCUUACUACACAAUUCACUUCCUAAUAGAUCCCACAAUAAAACUGCAUUUUUAUUAUUAUUAUAUUUAUUUUAUUAUUUAUUAUUAUCUCUGAUAAUGUGUUCAAAGGCUUUUUACUUUUGUUUUUUUUUACUAUUUUUUUUAUCUCUCUCCAGUUUGCUUUUUGUUUUUAAUAUGUCAUCUGAUCUAUUCCAAGCUGCUUUUGUUGUAUUUGUUUUCAAAUGCAGGUAUUCACUGAUCUCAAAGUACCUUGGGAAACUACCAAGUUAACUACUUGGGAAAAUCACUCUUGUGAUUUGCUUUCUUUGUUAUUCUUUUCCCUGCUCCUCUUUUGGCCUGGGUGAGAGGUGGCAACUGUAAUUUUAAAUUUUAAUUUCAAGCUAAGAUAUUAAAAAAUUGAUCAAAGAAAUAUAUUUAAGCCAAGAAAUUUAAAUGGGCGAACUACAGUCUAGAGGUGCUAGCAAGCAAAUGUGUUGUUUUUAGGUGGUGGGAAAUUCAUACCAUGUUCCUUUAGUUUAUGUCAUGGAGUUGAAAGGCUAACAAACUUUUUUGGCUUUGCUUUCAGCAGCAUAAUACUUGUUUUUAUCAUGAUUUUUUUUUCCAUUUUUUUUCCAACUGUUUCAUUGCAUACCAGUUAAAUAUCUAAAUCAUGUUGAAUACAAAUUAUAUUACAAAAAAGCACAAUUUUAAGGAAUUCUCUUGGAAAACAUGACUUUCUAGGGAAGUAUAGGUUAGAUUCUGUUGACUUUUGUGACAAUGAUACUUUGAUGGUAGAAGGUGUGGCAGGGAUUUUAGCUGUAUAAGCUCUUUAAUGAGAAUUACUAUUUUAAAUUAUAUGAUUAUUACCUCAGCUCUUUUUUAGAAGGUCUUUUGGUGGUGUGUGCCAGGGUGAGAAGCCCUGUUGAUUCCUUUUAAUUACAGGAAAAACAAAACAUCUUGGGAUGUGAUGGCCUUCCGUAAUAUGUGGUUGUGCUGUGUUCCAUUGGAAUGUGACAGAGGUCUGCUGAGGCCAUACAGCACACAGCGAUGCUGUUAGAUGGCUGAAUUUCAUUAUCUGGACACGGAUAUGUGUCAAGGCUGCAAGAGCCAAUCAUUCAUUCAGUGUGGAGUAGGCUCUCUUGCUUUUGUAAACCAUAGGGCAAGAUGUCCAUGGAGCCUUGGAAAAUCCCAUGGUGGAUACAAGCCUGUUGGAAGAAUUCAUUAGUAGUGACGUAGAGUUUGGAACUUUGCAAAGCCAGUUGCCAGACUCCCCACCGGACUCUGGCUCAGAACCGUGUUCCCCCCCACAGCUACAAACCCCAUGGUGUGAUGCUGUGUGGCCCAGUGGGCUGCAGCCUCCUCUCCCAUGCCCAUCUGUCAGGGCACCCAGCAAGCUUCCCUGCAGGUUCAUGGAGACCUAUCCUGACCCCAGUGCCACAGGGUAUCCUUGCACCAUCUCCCAAGGCUGCUGCCUGAAGACAGAAAAUGCUGUGCCUCCAUGGAAUCAUUCCACAUCCUCCAGCUGUUCGGGUUUUAAUUAUUCAUACUUCCAGCCUAAUGCAUCUCAGAUUUCUGGUAUUUCUGCAGCAUCAAGCAAAAAAAGGAAGCUCUCCCAAUUACUAGGAGAUGGGAUUGAUUCUCCAGUGCAGUCUCAGGAUUCCAGACAAGCAACUGUAAAGGACUAUGCUGCUGAAGUGCAAGAAUAUGACAGUGAUGGACAGAAUGCAGCUUUGGAAAAAUGCUGUCAAGCUCUUACAUGGCAACCAUAUCAAACUUCUCAGUGGAACAGCUUAUUUGACUCUAAUUAUGAAAAACUACCUGCUGUAGGAUAUCACAUUGUCACAGAUAAAGGAUUUAAUUUUUCAACAACAGAUGAUGCCUUUGUGUGCCAAAAGAAAAAUCAUUUCCAAAUCACAGUUCAUAUUAGAAUCACUGGACAUCCAAAAUAUGUCAAAACUCAGCAGGGGAGGAAACCAAUAGAAAAGUAUUACUUGAAAGCUUAUGGAAUUAAGGUGGAAGCUCCAAAUGAAACAAUUGCUAUUGAACAGUCUCAAUCAGAUAGAAGCAAAAAAACUUUUCCUCCUGUAAAAGUUGAUCUGCCAGGGGACCAGAUAACUAAAGUAACACUGGGACGGCUGCAUUUCAGUGAAACAACAGCAAAUAAUAUGAGAAAAAAGGGGAAACCUAAUCCUGAUCAGAGAUACUUCAUGCUGGUGGUUGGACUGUAUGCUGUAUCUCAGGACCAGUUCUACUUACUAUCUGCAAAUGUCUCUGAAAAGAUCAUUGUGAGGGCAUCCAACCCAGGGCAGUUUGAGCACGACAGCGAUGUGCUGUGGCAGCGAGGAGCCGCUCCAGAGACCAUAGCGUAUCACGGCCGCGUCGGGAUUAACACAGACGCGCCGGACGAAGCGCUGGUGGUCUGCGGGAACGCCAAAGUGAUGGGCAGAGUCAUGCACCCCUCUGACAGCCGAGCCAAGCAGAACAUCCGCGAGGUCGACACAAAUGAGCAGUUGAAAAGAAUAGCACAAAUGAGGCUGGUGGAAUAUGACUACAAGCCUGAAUUUGCAUCUGUUAUGGGAAUAAAAGAUACCCAUGAAACAGGAAUAAUAGCACAGGAAGUGAAGAGUCUUUUACCUGAAGCUGUUAGAGAAGUUGGAGAUGUUGCUUGUCAUGAUGGUGAAAAAAUAGAAAACUUCCUCAUGGUUGACAAGGAUCAGAUCUUUAUGGAGAAUGUCGGUGCUGUAAAGCAGCUUUGUAAGCUAACAAACAAUCUUGAAGUCAGAAUAGAAGAAUUGGAACAGUGGAAUAGGAAACUGGCCAGGCAGAAACGGAUCAACAGUUUAAAGUCAACAGUCAGUGAAGAGAGCAAAGUCAGCAGGUAUAGUCGAACUAAUAGUCUCUUGCCAUCAAUAAAAUCAGUCCCACUAAAAUCCAGGAAGGUUUGUUUAUCAAAGACCAAAGAAUCUUGCUCCGUGAAGAUUUUCCGGGUGACUAUAAUAGCUUUGAUUGCUAUUAUGGCACUAUGUGCUUUGGCAAUAUGGAGCCUAUAUUUACUUAGCAUUCACGACAGACGUUUUGAAAAACAUCCAGUUUACAGCAGCACCUCAAGUCCUGUUCCAGUCUCUCCCUCUACUACCACAGCAGCAUUACAGAGUGAGAGCACAGUUUCUCAGACCACACAGCCCAUCAGCAGGAUCCCUGAAGUGAAUUUCUGUGGCAUUUUAUCUUGUGACAAGGUCUAUUGUUGUCCAAUUCACCAACCAAAAGUCAAAUCUCUAAGCUAUGAAAAAAAUAAUGCAAAGGGAAAACAAAACAAAAGUGACAUGUUACCCAAACGAGAUUCCAUCAAAAAACCUCGUGGAAGACCUGAUCUUGGAAAUGACUGGAUUGAUACAACAGUCAGUUCCAUACAGAUUUUGCAAACUCAGCAAAGCAUUGACAACCGCUAUUGUAGUAAAAAUCUGCAGUGCAGCUCUGGAAACUACAGCUAUGUUAUUCCUAUUAACAAAUACACGCCCAUGGAUGUAGAAAUCUCACUGGAAAUAAACACCACAGAACCAUUAAUUAUAUUUCUCUGCAAAGUCACAUUUGGAAAUUUUUGCUCCCAUUAUUCUUCCAGCCAAAACAGUAGGAAGAAUUUCCAAGAAACCACACAGGAGGGCAGUCAGACAUUCUGCCAAAGGGCAGUGCUGCUCGGCAUGGAGCUUGCAAAGAAGGAUGGGCAUUGUGGAAUUUUGAAAUGCAAGAUCUUUGCACUUUUUAAAGUGAGACUGAUGAAGCGUUUAAGGUGCAUACUUCUACUUCAUCCAUGUAAGAAGCUGGAGAGAAAACUGAGAUGAUUUACUUAGGACUUGAGUCCUUUCUUUGUUCUCCCCAAACCCACAGAAUCACAGAAUCAAUGAGGUUAGAAAAGACCUUUGAGAUCAUCAAGUCCAACAUAUGACAUCACAUGACCUUGUCAACAAGACCAUGGCACUGAGUGCCAUAUCCAGUCUUUCCUUAAACACCCCAGGGAUGAUGACUCCACCACCUCCCUGCACAACACAUUCCAAUGCCCAGUCACCCUUUCUGUGAAGAAUUUCUUCCUGAUCUUCAACCUAAACCUCCUGUGGUGCGGCUUAAGACUGUGUCCUCUCGUCCUGUUGUCUUGCCAGUUGCCUGGGAGAAGAGACCAGCUCCCACCUGGAUACAACCUCCUGUCAGGAAGGGAAAUGGUUAUCUUACUGAUUUUCAACAUCACUGCCAUCAUCAAAACAGUGCUCUGUGUUAUUGGCUCUGUCAUGAUAAUCUUCAAGAGCAUGAAGUCAACAUAGUCUCCAUGAUGGUGAUAAAAAGUAAGCCUCUGUCGAGUUUUCCCAGGAAGAAGAUUGGGAUACUUUCCCAUUCUUCUCUUGUUUGUCUUAGAGAACUCGAAUUUGGUUUGGUUCUGGUUGCCAGUGACAUGUGCAUUGCAGAUGCCAGAAAGACCUCCAGAAGACACAGACACUGUCAUGCAGGAGCUACCAGUAGUGACAACUGCAUGUGAUUUAGAGAAGAUAUUCAGUAAUUCUUCCUGUUCUUCUCACGUGAGUUUGUGAAAAUGGACCAAAAUGGUGGUUUCCACUGCUCAAACCAGUGAUCAGUGUAAAGGAGUAAAGCUUUUUUUUCUGUGAGUCAAAUUGUCUGCAGCACA